Molecule: transfer RNA, 87 nt
Filed under: Bacteroidota bacterium
Lineage: Bacteria; Pseudomonadati; Bacteroidota
Description: Bacteroidetes bacterium (hot springs metagenome) tRNA-Leu
Rfam family: tRNA
About the family: Transfer RNA (tRNA) molecules are approximately 80 nucleotides in length.
Source: RNAcentral
GCUGAAGUGGCGGAAUUGGUAGACGCGCUACAUUCAGGGUGUAGUGUCCGAAAGGGUGUAGGGGUUCGAGUCCCCUCUUCAGCACCA